This 542-nucleotide ribosomal RNA is filed under the name uncultured archaeon. Its description in RNAcentral is "bacterial SSU rRNA". It matches the Rfam family "Archaeal small subunit ribosomal RNA", at positions 457 to 997 of the family's 1478-position model. The record is from RNAcentral.
GCCAGCAGCCGCGGGAACACCGGCGGCCCGAGUGGUGAUCGUGAUUAUUGGGUCUAAAGGGUCCGUAGCCGGUUUGGUCAGUCCUCCGGGAAAUCUGAUAGCUCAACUAUUAGGCUUUCGGGGGAUACUGCCAGACUUGGAACCGGGAGAGGUAAGAGGUACUACAGGGGUAGGAGUGAAAUCUUGUAAUCCCUGUGGGACCACCUGUGGCGAAGGCGUCUUACCAGAACGGGUUCGACGGUGAGGGACGAAAGCUGGGGGCACGAACCGGAUUAGAUACCCGGGUAGUCCCAGCCGUAAACGAUGCUCGCUAGGUGUCAGGCAUGGCGCGACCGUGUCUGGUGCCGCAGGGAAGCCGUGAAGCGAGCCACCUGGGAAGUACGGCCGCAAGGCUGAAACUUAAAGGAAUUGGCGGGGGAGCACAACAACGGGUGGAGCCCUGCGGUUUAAUUGGACUCAACGCCGGACAACUCACCGGGGGCGACAGCAAUAUGUAGGCCAAGCUGAAGACUUUGCCUGAAUCGCUGAGAAGAGGUGCAUGG